Y RNA from Macaca mulatta (Rhesus monkey), 110 nucleotides. It matches the Rfam family "Y RNA". From Rfam's summary of the family: Y RNAs are components of the Ro ribonucleoprotein particle (Ro RNP), in association with Ro60 and La proteins. The Y RNAs and Ro60 and La proteins are well conserved, but the function of the Ro RNP is not known. Lineage: Eukaryota; Metazoa; Chordata; Mammalia; Primates; Cercopithecidae. The record is from Ensembl.
GGCUGGUCUGAAGGCAGUGAGUUAUCUCAACUGAUUGCUCAGUCAGUUACAGAUCGAAAUCCUUGUUCUACUCUUUCCCCCUUCUCACUACUGUACUUGAAUAGCCUUAU